GAUGAACGCUGACAGAAUGCUUAACACAUGCAAGUCGAUGGGGAAGUGGUGCUUGCCCCAUGGCAACCAUGGCGGACGGGUGAGUAACGCGUAAGGGACUUACCUGCAGGACUGGGAUAACAGGGGGAAACUCCUGACAAGACCGGAUAAUGUCAUGGAGCUGCAUGGCUUUAUGAUGAAAGGAGACGCCUGCGGAGAGCCUUGCGUCCUAUUAGCUAGUUGGUGAGGUAAUGGCUCACCAAGGCGAAGAUAGGUAGCCGGCCUGAGAGGGUGGACGGCCACAAGGGGACUGAGAUACGGCCCUUACUCCUACGGGAGGCAGCAGUGGGGAAUAGUGGACAAUGGGGGCAACCCCGAUCCAGCAAUUCUGUGUGCACGAAGAAGGUUUUCGGAUUGUAAAGUGCUUUCAGCAGGGAAGAAGUAAGUGACGGUACCUGCAGAAGAAGCGACGGCUAAAUACGUG
RNAcentral lists this ribosomal RNA (463 nucleotides) under uncultured bacterium. Its description in RNAcentral is "partial 16S ribosomal RNA". It matches the Rfam family "Bacterial small subunit ribosomal RNA", at positions 28 to 507 of the family's 1533-position model. The record is from RNAcentral.